Molecule: ribosomal RNA, 412 nt
Filed under: uncultured bacterium
Lineage: Bacteria
Description: bacterial SSU rRNA
Rfam family: Bacterial small subunit ribosomal RNA
Source: RNAcentral
GUGCCAGCAGCCGCGGUAAUACGGAGGGUGCAAGCGUUAAUCGGAAUUACUGGGCGUAAAGCGCACGCAGGCGGUUUGUUAAGCUAGAUGUGAAAGCCCCGGGCUCAACCUGGGAUGGUCAUUUAGAACUGCCAGACUAGAGUCUUGGAGAGGGGAGUGGAAUUCCAGGUGUAGCGGUGAAAUGCGUAGAUAUCUGGAGGAACAUCAGUGGCGAAGGCGACUCCCUGGCCAAAGACUGACGCUCAUGUGCGAAAGUGUGGGUAGCGAACAGGAUUAGAUACCCUGGUAGUCCACACCGUAAACGCUGUCUACUAGCUGUGUGUGUCUUUAAGACGUGCGUAGCGAAGCUAACGCGCUAAGUAGACCGCCUGGGGAGUACGGCCGCAAGGUUAAAACUUAAAGGAAUUGGCGG